GUAUAGGAGCUGACGCCGGCCCGGUGCUGGAAGGUUAAGGGGAUCGGUUAGAGCAAUCGAAGCAGUGAACUUAAGCCCCAGUAAACGGCGGCCGUAACUAUAACGGUCCUAAGGUAGCGAAAUUCCUGGUCGGGUAAGUUCCGACCCGCACGAAAGGCGUAACGAUUUGGGCACUGUCUCAACAACAGACUCGGUGAAAUUGUAAUUCCGGUGAAGAUGCCGGAUACCUGCGACAGGACGGAAAGACCCCAUGGAGCUUUACUGUAGCUUGACAUUGGGUCUUGGUACUACAUGUACAGGAUAGGU
RNAcentral lists this ribosomal RNA (306 nucleotides) under Clostridioides difficile. Its description in RNAcentral is "bacterial LSU rRNA". It matches the Rfam family "Bacterial large subunit ribosomal RNA", at positions 1843 to 2148 of the family's 2925-position model. Lineage: Bacteria; Bacillati; Bacillota; Clostridia; Peptostreptococcales; Peptostreptococcaceae. The record is from RNAcentral.